GACGAACGCUGGCGGCGUGCUUAACACAUGCAAGUCGAGCGGUAAGGCCCUUUCGGGGGUACGACGAGCGGCGAACGGGUGAGUAACACGUGGGUGACCUGCCCUCCAGCUCUGGGAUAAGCCUGGGAAACCGGGUCUAAUACUGGAUAUGACUCCAUGACGCAUGUUGUGGGGUGGAAAGCCUUGUGCGGCUGAGGAUGGGCCCGCGGCCUAUCAGCUUGUUGGUGGGGUGAGGCCUACCAAGGCGACGACGGGUAGCCGGCCUGAGAGGGCGACCGGCCACACUGGGACUGAGACACGACCCAGACUCCUACGGGAGGCAGCAGUGGGGAAUAUUGCGCAAUGGGCGGAAGCCUGACGCAGCGACGCCGCAUGGGGGAUGACGGCC
This 388-nucleotide ribosomal RNA is filed under the name uncultured bacterium. Its description in RNAcentral is "bacterial SSU rRNA". It matches the Rfam family "Bacterial small subunit ribosomal RNA", at positions 28 to 416 of the family's 1533-position model. The record is from RNAcentral.